GGAGGAUCAUUAUCGUAGGGCUUCGGCCCUGUCGAGAUAGAACCCUUGCCUUUUUGAGUACCUUUCGUUUCCUCGGCAGGCUCGCCUGCCAAUGGGGACCACAAAAAACACUUUGCAGUACCUGUAACAGUCUGAACAAACAAAACAAAAAUUAAAACUUUCAACAACGGAUCUCUUGGUUCUGGCAUCGAUGAAGAACGCAGCGAAAUGCGAUAAGUAGUGUGAAUUGCAGAAUUCAGUGAAUCAUCGAACCUUUGAACGCACAUUGCGCCCUUUGGUAUUCCUUAGGGCAUGCCUGUUCGAGCGUCAUUUAAACCUUCAAGCUAAGCUUGGUGUUGGGUGACUGUCCGCUUCACUGCGGACUCGCCUCAAAAUUAUUGGCGGCCGGUACAUUGGCUUCGAGCGCAGCAGAAACGCGAACUCGGGCCCGUCGUAUUGGCUCCCAGAAGCUAUCUUCACAAUUUUGACCUCGGAUCAGGUAGGGAUACCCGCUGAACUUAAGCAUAUCAAUAAGCGGAGGA
Molecule: ribosomal RNA, 521 nt
Filed under: uncultured Pleosporales
Lineage: Eukaryota; Fungi; Ascomycota; Dothideomycetes; Pleosporales
Description: eukaryotic LSU rRNA
Rfam family: 5.8S ribosomal RNA (bases 156-309)
Source: RNAcentral